RNAcentral lists this small RNA (30 nucleotides) under Bombyx mori (domestic silkworm). Its description in RNAcentral is "piRNA piR-bmo-1865395". Lineage: Eukaryota; Metazoa; Arthropoda; Insecta; Lepidoptera; Bombycidae. The record is from RNAcentral.
UGUCUGUGGGUUAAUUCGCUCGUCGAGCCU